UACGUAGGGGGCAAGCGUUGUCCGGAAUCACUGGGCGUAAAGGGCGCGUAGGCGGAUCUUUAAGUCGGGGGUGAAAGCCUGUGGCUCAACCACAGAAUUGCCUUCGAUACUGGGGAUCUCGAGUCCGGGAGAGGUGAGUGGAAUUGCGAGUGUAGAGGUGAAAUUCGUAGAUAUUCGCAAGAACACCAGUGGCGAAGGCGGCUCACUGGCCCGGAACUGACGCUGAGGUGCGAAAGCGUGGGGAGCAAACAGG
This 253-nucleotide ribosomal RNA is filed under the name uncultured bacterium. Its description in RNAcentral is "partial 16S ribosomal RNA". It matches the Rfam family "Bacterial small subunit ribosomal RNA", at positions 524 to 776 of the family's 1533-position model. The record is from RNAcentral.